CUACACUCCUACGGGAGGCAGCAGUGGGGAAUUUUGGACAAUGGGCGAAAGCCUGAUCCAGCAAUGCCGCGUGUGUGAAGAAGGCCUUCGGGUUGUAAAGCACUUUUGUCCGGAAAGAAAUCCUUGGCUCUAAUACAGUCGGGGGAUGACGGUACCGGAAGAAUAAGCACCGGCUAACUACGUGCCAGCAGCCGCGGUAAUACGUAGGGUGCGAGCGUUAAUCGGAAUUACUGGGCGUAAAGCGUGCGCAGGCGGUUUGCUAAGACCGAUGUGAAAUCCCCGGGCUCAACCUGGGAACUGCAUUGGUGACUGGCAGGCUAGAGUAUGGCAGAGGGGGGUAGAAUUCCACGUGUAGCAGUGAAAUGCGUAGAGAUGUGGAGGAAUACCGAUGGCGAAGGCAGCCCCCUGGGCCAAUACUGACGCUCAUGCACGAAAGCGUGGGGAGCAAACAGGAUUAGAUACCCGGGUAGUCCCAU
RNAcentral lists this ribosomal RNA (476 nucleotides) under uncultured organism. RNAcentral's name for it is "partial 16S ribosomal RNA". It matches the Rfam family "Bacterial small subunit ribosomal RNA", at positions 331 to 798 of the family's 1533-position model. The record is from RNAcentral.